Pseudomonas sp. M47T1 is the source of this 136-nucleotide regulatory RNA element. It matches the Rfam family "radC RNA". The record is from Rfam. NCBI's taxonomy places the organism in Bacteria, Pseudomonadati, Pseudomonadota, Gammaproteobacteria, Pseudomonadales, Pseudomonadaceae.
AUGGGCUGCACUUGCUGUCGAUGACAGCGCCCAGGCAGCUCGAACCUUCAAGGCUGCGCCAUUUCGAUGGUGGUUCUCCCAAGUGCGAUUCGCGUUCGGCAGCUCGCACGGUCAUCGAUUCGUCGGUGAUGAGCGC